Peromyscus leucopus (white-footed mouse) is the source of this 683-nucleotide long non-coding RNA. RefSeq lists it as uncharacterized. Lineage: Eukaryota; Metazoa; Chordata; Mammalia; Rodentia; Cricetidae. The record is from RefSeq and is a predicted model, not a curated record. The transcript is spliced from 3 exons.
AUAUCUAGAGUUUCUUGAGAGUGGGGAACUUUCCAGUUUGGCCUGGGGUUGGUGGGACUUUUGCAGACUGAUCUUGGGGCAAGCUCAGAGAUUGGUAUGAUUCUUUUCCUGACCCUGGUCAUAGACUUGGGAUUAAGUCAGGGUCAGAGUAUUCUUUCCUUGGCUCUGGUCUCAGGGCCUUCAUGGUCAAGUUCUUUCCUUGGUUCUUUUACCCUACACUUAGCAUUACCUCUCCUGGCCCUGUGCCAUUCAACUAUGUAAUUACACUUGUGUUUAUCUAUCUCCAGGGACUACUGCAAAGGCAUCGUCCCAACUCUCCCCUCACUAAGCAGGAUCUGGAAAUGAACAAGGUGGAGAAACUGACCAUUCAGCUACAGAUGAUGACCUGUGAGAGGAAUGAACUGCUUGGAGUCUUGGACCAUUAUACCAACAAUAACUUGAAAAGCAGGAGUACUGAGUCAACAGACCCAUGGAUCUGAUGGGGGCUGGAUCACCUGGAGGUCAAUUGGUGUUUGUCUCCCUGGAAACAGAUGUACACUGGAGAGAGCCUGUAAUCAGCAGGAGUGUGCUGCAUGCAUAUCUACCCAAAGGUAGGAGCUUCUCUCUAAAGGUGAUGUUCUGGAAGGAAAAUCAAGUGGCAGGAGCACACACUGUCCUCCACAACUAACCCUCCUCCUGCUAAG